This 314-nucleotide long non-coding RNA is filed under the name Lathyrus oleraceus (garden pea). RNAcentral describes it as "Pisum sativum (pea) long non-coding RNA (PSAT_LNC030668)". The record is from RNAcentral. Lineage: Eukaryota; Viridiplantae; Streptophyta; Magnoliopsida; Fabales; Fabaceae.
AUAAACUACUGAGGACUUAUACGGAAAUGAUGAUUAAGGCCAUGGUAUAUGGGGUUUCGGGAAUGAUUCCUAUAUUUACGAAGUCUAUGGUGCUAAAAUAAUACAGGAGCUGACUGCUAGGAUAAACUACUGAGGACUUAUACGGAAAUGAUGAUUAAGGCCAUGGUAUAUGGGGUUUCGGGAAUGAUUCCUAUAUUUACGAAGUCUAUGGUGCUAAAAUAAUACUGAUGUUUUGCAAAGUUCUCCCAAGUCACCGCAUCCUUACUCAAAACAUGUCUUUAAAACCUGAAAACUUUCGGAAUAACACUGUUUUC